RNAcentral lists this ribosomal RNA (768 nucleotides) under bacterium. RNAcentral's name for it is "bacterial SSU rRNA". It matches the Rfam family "Bacterial small subunit ribosomal RNA", at positions 68 to 848 of the family's 1533-position model. The record is from RNAcentral.
GGUAAGGCCCUUUCGGGGGUACACGAGCGGCGAACGGGUGAGUAACACGUGGGUGACCUGCCCUCCACUCUGGGAUAAGCCCGGGAAACUGGGUCUAAUACCGGAUAGGACCACUGAUCGCAUGGUUGGUGGUGGAAAGUUUUUUCGGUGGGGGAUGGGCCCGCGGCCUAUCAGCUUGUUGGUGGGGUGAUGGCCUACCAAGGCGGUGACGGGUAGCCGGCCUGAGAGGGCGACCGGCCACACUGGGACUGAGACACGGCCCAGACUCCUACGGGAGGCAGCAGUGGGGAAUAUUGCGCAAUGGGCGGAAGCCUGACGCAGCGACGCCGCGUGGGGGAUGACGGCCUUCGGGUUGUAAACCUCUUUCGCCAGGGACGAAGAGCAAUUGACGGUACCUGGAGAAGAAGCACCGGCCAACUACGUGCCAGCAGCCGCGGUAACACGUAGGGUGCGAGCGUUGUCCGGAAUUAUUGGGCGUAAAGAGCUCGUAGGCGGUGUGUCGCGUCGGCCGUGAAAACUUGGGGCUUAACUCUGAGCGUGCGGUCGAUACGGGCAUCACUUGAGUUCGGCAGGGGAGACUGGAAUUCCUGGUGUAGCGGUGAAAUGCGCAGAUAUCAGGAGGAACACCGGUGGCGAAGGCGGGUCUCUGGGCCGAUACUGACGCUGAGGAGCGAAAGCGUGGGGAGCGAACAGGAUUAGAUACCCUGGUAGUCCACGCCGUAAACGUUGGGCGCUAGGUGUGGGGACCAUUCCACGGUUUCUGUGCCG